This 481-nucleotide ribosomal RNA is filed under the name uncultured bacterium. RNAcentral's name for it is "bacterial SSU rRNA". It matches the Rfam family "Bacterial small subunit ribosomal RNA", at positions 65 to 573 of the family's 1533-position model. The record is from RNAcentral.
UACGCUCACUUCGGUGAGAGUGGCGAAAGGGUGAGUAACGCGUGAGCGAUCUGCCCCCAAGUCCGGAACAACUGUUGGAAACGACAGCUAAUACCGGAUGUGAAUCUAAAACUGCAUGGUUUUAAAUUUAAAGGUUUACUGCUUGGGGAUGAGCUCGCGUCCCAUUAUGCUAGUUGGUAAGGUAACGGCUUACCAAGGCUAUGACGGGUAGGUGGUCUGAGAGGAUGGUCACCCACACUGGGACUGAGACACUGCCCAGACUCCUGCGGGAGGCUGCAGUCGAGAAUCUUCCGCAAUGCGCGAAAGCGUGACGGAGCAAUGCCGCGUGAGGGAUGAAGGCUUUCGGGUCGUAAACCUCUGUCAGAAGGGAAAAACAUUGAUUGUACCUUCAGAGGAAGCCACGGCUAACUACGUGCCAGCAGCCGCGGUAAUACGUAGGUGGCGAGCGUUAUUCGGAUUUACUGGGCGUAAAGGGUCCGUA